UCUCCAAAAAAUCCUAAACUAAAACCCUGGUGCUAUUAUAUAUGUUCUCAACCCCAAAGCUUACAAAUCUAUUUUAAGUCCAAGCUUAUAAACGAAAUAAAAUAAAAUCUGGACAAGAUAAGAUAAGAUUGGAUGAAAUAAAAUAUGGACGAAAUAAAAUCUAGAUGGAAUAAAAUCUGGAUAAGAUAAGAUUUGAUAAAAUAAAAUUGUCUGCUCUCUUCUAGUCCAAGUCCAAUUCUGGAUUCAAGCCUAAUUGCUUAUAAUUCUCCUGAAAUUAAAUUAAAAAUACAAAAUUAGUCAAGUAGGCCCAAAUGAUAAAACUGCAUAAUUAAUUUGACAAUUAAGGCUAAUCAGUAAUUAAAAUGGUAACAAAAAGGGUUAAGAAAUAGGAGAAAAUAAUGACACAUCAGCAAGAUAUUGAACAAUAAAGGCCUUACAUAGAAGACUUAUCAAAGGCUACAUAAAGAGCAUCCAAAGUCAAAAUGAAGCUUUGGCAGAGUCAACAUAAGAAUGAUGAAGACCUUGACUUUGAAUAUUUGAUCAUAUGAAUGGUUCAUAAUGACUCAGAAAGCAUCACAUAGACAACAUCAGUUCUUCUAUAUGAUGUCACACAUAUAGAGGGAACAUCAGAAGAAUAAAGUUGAUAGAGCACUUCACUUUCCAUAUGUUGCCACAUACAUAGAGGGCUCAUCAGAAAGUGAGAGCUAAUUGCUUAAGGAAAAUGCAAGUUUGUUGAAAAUUGAAGCUGUCCAUGAGAAGUAUUGAUGAGAAACAUCAAAAUGAAAGAUUGAAGAAUGCCACUCAAUUUGACCUUGGAUAGAACACUAACACACCAACACCUAAACUUCUACUUAGUUUUUUUAAAGUAAUCAACUUCAAAAUGCUUGAAGCUGUGAAGAAGUGUUAAGAGUAAUGAAGUUAUGCUACUUCAGAUUGGGAAAUUAGUCUAAACUUCAUCAACUAAAUUCAUCAAGUAUGGAUUCUUUCUCUGUAUACAUCAGAAUGACUAUUCUAAUGGUUCUUUAGAAGGCCCGUCAGAAAGAUUCCUCAGAAUGACUCUACAUGUUGUCACUUCAUGAUAGCUAUAAUGUGUACCUACUUGCUCUAGAAGCUUGUCAGUUGAGUAUAGCCCACCUCAGCUGUCUCCUUAGGAGGUUUAUGUGGCAUUUUCAAAGUGCAUGAUGAACAAGUUGAAGCAUUCCAAAAUAGUAACAUCUAGAGCAAAAUCUCUAAGUGAGAAAUCAAUAUUUUUGCUUCAACCCUCUCUGUGAGAGCAACCCACUUCUGUAUUGUGCUUACAAAUCUGUAAUAUUCUUUAGAUAGAAGUGAGAGAUUUAAUACCAGAGUGGAAUUCCUCUUUCAAGGUGAAGAUUUGUAUUCUGUGCAGUAAAGCAUAAAUCCUCUUUUCUAUUGUAAGUUCAGUAGUAGAUGGCAAAGCUGAAAUCCAAUGGUAUUGUUGGUCUAGUUGAGGCUAGGAUUGAAGUCCAAUUGGGGAACUGGUAGGUUGCUGAAAUCCAAUGGUUUUUGGUCCAAUUAGGAUUGGUUUUGUUAGUGAAAUCUCAUCUUGAAGGGUAAGGAUUGGACGUAGCCCAAGGUUAAAGUGAACCAGUAUAAAAAUCUUUAUGCAUUCUUUUUCCGUCUCUCUUUACUUUGCUUUGCACAGAUCUGAUUUUUGUUUUUGUUCAAUCAUUAAACCAGAUAACCUUUUCUAACCAACACCUACGUUAAACUUGUUUUGAUGAAAAAGGUUUUAAGUAAAUAACUAUCUUUAGAACAAAAGCUUUGAAUUGUAAAAGAACAUAUUUCCAUAACUGUUUGCAUUUUCAUUAUGAGUAACUUAAAUUUCUAUUCUGAGUUCAAAAUAGUUCUUCCUUUGAAUUGGUUCAUUCUAAACUAUCAUAAAAAACUUUUUGUUUUCAAAGGAAACAUUAAAAAUUUUUAAAACCCCAAUUGAACCCCCCAUUCUUGUGGUAGUUUUGUCACUUCAAAAACUGCCAAAGAGAUUUUGUUGAGUGUCAAUUAUGAGGGGACAAAGGACAUUAAAUUGAGGAAAAGUUACCACUCUGAUGAGACAAAAAAGGCUUCAACAUGGUGAAGGAGAAUCUACCGAUGACAUGUUUGGGAGACUACAAGUAUCAUUAAUGGUCUCAAAGCAUUGGGACACACCUUCGUUAAGGCCUCGAUAAACGUGGAGGUGCUAAACAACUUUCCCAAGGUGUAGAAACCAAAGACAACAACCAUCCAAGAGGCCAAAAACAUGAAAAAUCUUACUUAAGGUGAGUUGUUGGGGAUCAUCUGUGUUCAAGAAGUUUACCUUUAGAAUAGAGAUCAACUUUCAAGAAAAUAUUUCCCUGCCCUUAAGAAUGGAGAGACAAGCUCCAAAAUAAAAAAAGAAAAGAAAAGAACUCCUCUAAAGCUCUUAAAGUGCAAAUGGUUGAAUUUGUAGCAUCUAACAACAUAUAUGAUGGAUCCACAUAUGAUGAAGUAGCUCUUAUGUUCAACAAGUUUAAAUAGAUGAUGGAAAAGAAAGUAAAGUCUCAACAUUCCUCCAAAAAGAAAGAUAGCAAAUUUAAAAAGAAGUGCAAGGAGGAAAGAUAUGAGAUCAUCUACUUCGAAUGCAGAAAACUUGGACGCAUGAAAGUUGAAUGUCCCAAACUAUAUAAAAAAAAAGAAUAUACUUUAGGGACAAAGAAAAGUUGGAUGGUCACUUGGGAUGACUCAGACAAUAAGAAGAGUAACAACUCAGAUGAAGAACAAGCCAAUAUUUGUUUGAUAACAGAUAUAGACAAAAAAUGUUGAGGUAAAAAGUUAUUUUGAAUCUUAUACUUUGUCUAACUCUUCAUCAGACAAAGAAGAAGUAAUGUCAUACGAUGUUCUCUUUCAAAAUUGUCAUAUGAUUUCUCCUUAGCGAAAAAAGUAUAAAGAAACACAGAAACUGUAUGUUUGUGAAAACACUGAACUAAAGAAAUCAAAUGAGGCUUUGGAAGAAAAGAUCAAGACACUGGAAAAGAGUCUGAGUCAAGCUAGCACUUCUUGUAUAAUAGACGAACCCUCUAUAAUUGAUAAACUAAAAGAGGAAGUAGUUUAUCUUACCAAAAACUUUGGAAAGUUCUUAGAAAGUUCUAAGACGUUGACUAUGCUUUUAAAAUAUCAUCAACAUCCCAUGACAAGUAUGGCUUAGGUUUAGAAAAAAGAAGCAUCAUGUUCUCAAUCACUAUUUGAUCCAGACAAAUGUGACUGAUGUGAAAAGCCUAUUUUCCAUGUUUUGAUGCAUCCAUAAGAAGAAAAAAAUGUCUAUGGGUACUAAUGUUGUUGGAUCCAAAAAGAUUUGGGUACCAAAAUCUCGUAUUAUUCCUAUUGCAAAUAUCCUUAGUAGGAAAAAGGUCAAGGUUUAAGUUGGUACUUGUACAACGGCUACUCAGAUCACAUGACAGGGGAAUGGUUUAUGUUCCUUGACUAAAGACCAGUUGAAGGAGGAGCAAUUGCUUAUGGAGGCAAAGGAAAAGGACAAAUCAAUUGUAUAGGUAAAAUCAAUAUGCCAUCUAUAGCCUCCUUAGAUAAUGUCUUUUAUGUUGAAGGUCUGAAGUAUAACCUACUGAGCAUAAGUCAAUUUUGUGACAAUGGUUAUAUUAUUUCCUUUAAUAAAGAUUUAGGAGAAAUCUUUGCCAAAAUAAGAAAGUACAACAGAAGGGUUGUGGGAAGGUACUCUUUUUUAGUAUUUUUAGGUUUUUUGGGAGAAGAGUAUAAGGACAAAUGAUUGGACAAUGGGGCUAUAACCUACAUGUAGCCUCCAAGUCCAAAUCAAUGACAUUUUUAGGAGGAUUUGGCAAAGGAAACUUGGCCUCUCCCCCCUUAAUGUUUUGGCAAAUAGUGGUGGCAAUGCCAACAUCAAGGCAGACCAUGCCACCACCAGUGAUGACGCCUCUAAUAGGGAUGCUAACUCUUGGUCAUUGGCAGCAUCAAAGCCACUGUGACAGUGGGGGGUCAUCGUUUGAACUCUCCCUAAUUGGGUGAACUUUCAGCGAAAGCAUUAUACCCCCCCUGGAGCGUACUUGGAAAAAGAAAAUGUGACCAAAGAAAACAAAAGGCGAACGGAAAAGAAAAAGAACGAAGGGUGUUUGGACGGAGGAGAAAACUCAGAAGUGAAAAUGAAAGUGGGAGAAUAAGAGUUUUUCUCCACUUUUUAUAGGCUUUUGGAAGCUUAUAAGGGCUGAAAGGAUGCACCUAUUAGUUCGUUAGAUCUUCUCUCUCUCUCUCUCUCUUUCUCUCAUACACACACACACACACACAAAUCAUUGGUUGGGGAAAUGUUUGACUUUUGGCUAUCUCGAGAGCGUUUUGAAAUGUAAAGGUCGUAAUCAUUACGCCUUUUUUGAAAACAUAUGAUGACAUUAAAUGCAUACGGACAAUACAAUAGUUGACAAGAUGACUCUUCGAAUACUUAAUCACUCAGAUUUGACAAAAGACAACUAUUCCUUCAUUCCCAUUUUAAGACCAAGAUAAAUACUUGGCUAAAGAGGAAAUCAAAUUCCCUUUAGGACUUGACUACAACAAGAUUGAUGAGUAUUACUCAAACUCGGUUGGUAGAUAGCAAUGUCUGGGUUGAGGACUUGAGAUUAUUUUACACAAAACUCCUACAGUCAGCUUCAGAGCUUGAGGGCAUUUGUACUACUCGAACUCGUCAAGCCUCCAUAUUCGGUGGCUGGCCAAGGAGUCUAUUCAGAAUCCAGAGAAUCUAGUAGAUGUAAUUAAAGAAAGAUGGAAACUCUAUCUUUUUCUAGAAAGAUAUAGAUAUCCUCUAAAUUGGAAGUUAUUUACUAUCAGAGAAAAGAUAAGAUAAAAUCAUAUAUUUCCUUAUUUACAUUAUCUUGCAAGGGAAAUUGAGAUCUUAUCAUUCAAUUUCACCUCGUUAAAAAGGGAUCAUCAAGGUUCAGGUAAACCAACUCUUAAUCCAACCUACUUUCUAAUAACUGAUAUACCUUUGCACCUCUAACUUGAACGUCAGAAUGUCCUCGUAGGUACACCCUGUUGAAUCCACAUCUCUAGUAUUAAUUAUGACAAACAACUAGUAAUGCAAAUUAUAAGGAUGAUGGUUUUAUGUGAUGACUAACAUUUUGCUUAAGUGUUUCAGUUUCAAACUUAUUAAGAAGCAGAUGUGUGCAUGCAUUCUGAGGUGCUUAGAAUGAUGCUUAAAAAGGUUAUCUCAGACUGACUGUUAAGAAUAAAGAACUCAUAAGAUCCUUUGAAGCCCAUCUACAUGAUGAAGAAUGCUUCCCUUUGAGUACUUGAUUUUGGCAAAGUACAAGGCAACAAGGCCUUACAUAGAAGAUACAUCAAGGACUACACGUCCAACAUCAGCAAAGUUGCAUUAGAGUCCACAUCAAAAUGAUGAAGACCUUGACUCUAAAGAGUGAACUUCAAAAUAAAGUUCAUAAGGGUUCAGAAUGCACCUCAAAGACAAUAUCAUGCCUUCCAUAUGAUGCCACACAUAUAAAGGACACAUAAGAAGAUUAAAUUUGACUACAUCUCACUUUCCAUAUGUUGCCACACACACUAAGGGCACAUCAAAAAGUGAAUGAUAGUUGUAUUGGCAGAUGUAACCAAGUUGAAAGCUGAAACUGCCUAUGAGAAGAUUUGACAAGAAACAUCAAAAUGGAAGAAUGAAGAUAGCAAUCUAACCUUGGACAGAACACUAACACAUUAACAAUUGUUCCUUCACUAUGUUUUUAUGUAGCAAUCUACUUAAGAAUGCUUUGUGUUGUGAAGAUGUGUUAAGAUUGAUGAAGUUGUGCUACUUCAGAAAGAUAUAUAUCAAUUGAACUUCAUCACAAGUUUGGAUCCUUUCUCAACUAACAUUAGAAUCUCCAUUUUGAUGUACCUUCAAAAUGCUCAUAAGAAAGGUUCCUCAAAAUGGGAACCUCAGAAUGACUUUGCAAGUUGUCGUGAGUUGACAACUAUCAUACCCUAAUUUCGUCCGGGGACCUUUGCUUGAUGACAUGCAACUUUUGUUUGGUCCUUGUGAGGUGCUUGGCACCCAUCAUUAGGCAAUUUGUGAAAUUCCGGGACAUGCCGGAAAACAAAAGAAAAUAUUGAUGCACAAUCCGUAAGGUUCCGUGACACACCGGAAAUCAAAUGGAAGCAUCGUUGCACAAUUAGUGAGUUUCCGUAACAUUCCGUAAGUCAAAAAGGGGAUGAUUAUGUAAUCCACAAGGUUCCGUAACAUUACGGAAAGAAAACAAGUAUCGUUACAAAAUUCGUGAGUUUCCGUAACUUUACGAAAAAAGAAUCACCAAAAAAAGGCAGGGGGUGUAUUUAGUAAAAAUGGGGGUGCAAAUAGCAACCAGGCCCACUUGGGCCCUCCAGAAGAUUCCUCCAGAAGGUUGUUGCUUCUGGAGGAAGCAACCCUGCUCGCCUGGGCGAGCUGGGUGGCAAGCUUCUCCCCCAAUUUUCUAUAAAUAGGGGGAGAAGUGAAGUGAAAAAGGGUUCACCCCCUUAGGCACUUCUCUCUCUUUCGAAUUUGCUUGGAAAAAUUGUUUCCGUGAAGAAAAUCCAAGCCGAGGCGCUUCCGAAACGUUUCCGUAACGUUUCCGUGAGGAAUUUCGCGAAGGUUUCGACCGUUCUUCGACGUUCUUCAUUCGUUCUUCAUCGUUCUUCGAUCUUCAACGGGUAAGUACCUCGAACCAAGCUUUUCGAUUCAUUCUAUGUACCCGUGGUGGUCCACAUUGUGUUUCGUGUAUUUUUAUUCUCGUUUCAUUUACUUUUUAUACCCCCUUUUGACGUGCUUAAGCCAUUUUAUUUAAGUCAUUUCUCGCUUAACCUAAAAAUAAAAUAAAUUUCCACCGAUCGUUUGAAUUGUAUUAUCCGUUAACUUCGGUUAAAAUGAAUUCCGACCGUUCGGUCGUGCCGUAACCACGUUGGAAAUCAAACAACAACAACAACAACAACAACAACGCCUUAUCCCACUAGGUGGGGUCGGCUACAUGGAUCAACUUCCGCCAUAAUGUUCUAUCAAGUACCAUACUUCUAUCCAAACCAUUAAUUUCGAGAUCCUUUUUUAUAACCUCUCUUAUAGUCUUUUUGGGUCUUCCUCUGCCUCGAAUUGUUUGUCUUCUCUCCAUCUGGUCUACUCUCCUCACUACAGAGUCUACCGGUCUUCUCUCUACAUGCCCAAACCACCUAAGUCUAUUUUCCACCAUCUUCUCUACAAUAGGCGCUACUCCAACCCUCUCUCUAAUAGCUUCGUUUCUAAUUUUAUCCUGUCGAGUCUUACCACACAUCCACCGCAACAUCCUCAUCUCCGCUACACCUACUUUAUUCUCACGUUGGAAAUAAAAAAAGAAGUAAAAUAAUAAUAUAAUAAUCAAAAAACGUCUUUUAGUAAAAUAAAGCGGAAAAUCAAUCGAACGUUUUCUCUUUGGGAUUUCUCAUUCUUAAUUGAAUUGACUAAUAACUAAAGUGAAACUAAGGCUAAAAUCAACUCGCCUAGUCAAGCUCGUCCAUAAAAAAAGGUUUCUGAAGUUUAUCAUUUCAAUUUCUUACUAAGUAAAAUGGAUCAUUUUCAAGGUCCAACGCCUUCAAAUGAUCACCUUUUAAGUAAAAAAGAAUCACUUGAUAAGAAAGAACUACGUAGGUCUGAUUUCCUCAUCGCAAUUGAGGAAUACGUAGGAGCAAAGGGAAACACCCUUGUCGACCACAAAAAGAGAAAAAAAUAUAAAAAAGGUAUAAAGGAUAUAAAGACAUAAAAAGGGAACAUAAAAAUCAAGGUCAUGUUUGCACAUUCGAUUAAAGGCUGCCGUCCCUUGGGACGGACGUGUGGGGUGCUAAUACCUUCCCCGUGCGUAAAUACAACUCCCGAACCUUUCACUUAAAAGUUCGUAGAUCACGUCUUUUCCGGUUUUUCCGACGUUUUCCUCAAAUAAACGUUGGUGGCGACUCCGCGCGUAUUCCUUUCGUGGGACACGCAUCCCGCGAGUCACGCGUCGCCCUCCCGCCGAAGGGUAGGUUGCGACAGUUGGCGACUCCACUGGGGACUGUUUUUAGAGAGUUAGGCCAUUUAAUCUUGUGCAAAGUUUUGCCAUGACUUACUCCUUUGUUGGUUUCCCUUUAUUAUGUUCUUGUAUAUAUAACUCUUUGAUGCUUUUAGUGCAUUCUUGUAUGCAUGAGGUAAAUAUUUAUUCAUUUAAUGCACACAAACACUAACACUAUUUGCACACACGGUGAGUUGAAAAAGGGCCCUAUACCCGGGUUCGUGGGAACAUAAGGAGUGGAGGUGAAUUUGUGAUCAUGCUAGGUCUCCAACUUGCUUGAUUACAGUGAACCCUCAUCUAGAGUUUUUUUCUUUGAAAACAUAUUGUUGCUAGUAGUCCCUACUGCUGCAGUAUGUUCUUCGAAGGCGAUGAUACCUCUAGAAACCAUCAAGAGAGAUAUGACUACCUUGGGGGUUAUCACUAAAAGCCUAGUUAGCUCUCUCCCUUAUAGGUCCCUUAAAUAGGGGCACAGAGCAAACACACUGCGUGCCAUUUUUCACACUGCCAUGCAUAAGUAUCAUAUACCCUUUUGCUUAUAUUUGUUUAUGAAUAUUGUCGUACUAUGUACAUCCCCGUAUUGUACCUUUCGCAUAUGCAUCAUGUGCGGGUUCCGUCUUAAUCCCCUCUCUUGGGCAAACCAACGGAGGGUCCGUGUCACCUUCUUAAAUACAUACGUUGGGCACUUUGCUACCCCAAGACGUUGUAUCUAAGAAGGAGACAAUUUCCCGGGCUCCCGUAUUCAUAAAUUGCAUCUGUGUCAUAUGCAUUCCUUCGUGCAUUCAUCCAUUCCACCCAUGAUAGAUGUCGGAGUUUUGAUUCGCACUAGAUCUUGUUUCACUUUAGUAAAACAUGGGAUCAAGUCAAAAGCCUUCGCUUAAAAAGAGGUUUUAUCAAGUCAAAAUCAAGAGCUUAGAGGUCACUAGUUUACGAGAGUUGGGGCAAUUAAUGGGUCAACUUCAACGGCAAGCCUUCCGCAAAGCCUAUGGUAAGCAUUUGGGACCUAGCUAGGGUAGAAGUCUCCAUGGAACCAAUUGCAUCCCUUGCCCAGUAUUAUGACCAGCCCCUAAGGUGCUUCACAUUUGAGGACUUCCAGCUAGUGCCGACUGUGGAAGAGUUUGAAGAAAUCCUGGGAUGCCCACUGGGAGGAAGGAAGCCAUAUCUUUUCUUUGGGUUCUAUCCCUCCACGACAAGAGUUGCCAAGGUAGUGAAAAUCUCAGCACAAGAGUUGGACCGUGUAAAGCAAAACAGAAAUGGAGUAGUCGGAGUACCAAGGAAGUGUUUGGAGGAAAGGGCAAAGGCCUUGGAAAAUCAAGGCAAAUGGGCUUUCUUUUAUUGACAUCUUGGCGAUUUUGAUCUUUGGAGUUGUCCUUGUUAGUGUUUGGCUCUACUAAGCUUUAAAAGAUUGGCUAAGAUUUUGUUAAAACAUAAGCACUUAGACAAUGAAGGAAAGCUGGAGUUGCUGCACAUGAUGUCCAACGGUAUGUCAAGGAAUAAGAUCGGGCUGCACAAUGCACAAGGCAAGAUAAAAUGUCAAAUGAAGAAUUGAAGUUGCAGGAUCCACGAUGUCGGAUACAAUGUCCUGACAUCCUGCCCGAAAAUACUGGAGUUGCUGUACAAUGCAAGAUAAAAGACAAGUGCAGAAGUGAAGCUGCAGGAUCCACGAUGUCGGAUACAAUGUCCUGACAUCCUGCCCGAGAAUACUGGAAUUGCUGUACAAUGCAAGAUAAAAGUCAAGUGCAGAAGUGAAGCUGCAGGAUCCACGAUGUCGGACACGAUGUCCUGACAUCCGGCCCGAAAAUACUGGACAUAUAAAUCUGUUAUAUCUUUAACAGAUUAUUGUGCAGUUAGCAAGAGAUUAGAAGAUCUAUCUUUAGGAACGAAUUAAAAGAUCAUUAAAGUUCGAAUUUCAAAGUAGAAGAGUUCGUUCAGGGAUUAAAGAUUAAAGAUUAAAGAUUCAAACUAAAAGAUCAAAAGUUAUCUUUUAGUUCUCUAACUGCAGAUUUUUUGCAGAAGAAGAUAGAUCUCCUCCAGCACAAGCCGUUGCAGCCCAGAAACGCAAAUUGCUAUAUAAUCAUGGAGGCUGCACGAGUUCUGCACCAAGUCCGGGAUUGAAGAGUUAGUUUGUGAGUUUUUGGGACUUGAGUCUUUUGUGAGCCACCUUGAUGGUACCCUAGCAUCAAGUGUUGGACCUAUGUGUGUAGAGUUGAUCUCUUGUGUGUAGAGUUGAUCUCUUUUGUUCAGAGUUGAUCUCUGGUGUGUCUUUGACUUAAUUGUAAACACGGGAGUGUGAGUGAGAGGGAGUGAGCAGAGGUUCUCAUAUCUAAGAGUGGCUCUUAGGUAGAGAUCGCACGGGUAGUGGUUAGGUGAGAAGGUUGUAAACAGGGGCUGUUAGACCUUGAACUAACACUAUUGAGAGUGGAUUUCCUCCCUGGCUUGGUAGCCCCCAGAUGUAGGUGAGGUUGCACCGAACUGGGUUAACAAUUCUCUUGUGUUAUUUACUUGUUUAAUCUGUUCAUACGGACACAUAUAAUCUGCAUGUUCUGAAGCGUGAUGUCGUGACAUCCGGUACGACAUCUGUCCCCUGGUAUCAGAAUUUCAAUUGGUAUCAGAGCCAACACUCGAAAUCACAGAGUGAGAUCUAGGGAGAUAAAUUCUGAUGAACAUGGAGAAAGAAGGAGGACCAGUGAACAGACCACCAAUCCUAGAUGGAACCAACUAUGAAUACUGGAAAGCAAGGAUGGUGGCCUUCCUCAAAUCACUGGAUAGCAGGACCUGGAAAGCUGUCAUCAAAGGCUGGGAACAUCCCAAGAUGCUGGACACAGAAGGAAAGCCCACUGAUGAAUUGAAGCCAGAAGAAGACUGGACUAAAGAAGAAGACGAAUUGGCACUUGGAAACUCCAAAGCCUUGAAUGCUCUAUUCAAUGGAGUUGACAAGAAUAUCUUCAGACUGAUCAACACAUGUACAGUGGCCAAGGAUGCUUGGGAGAUCCUAAAAACCACUCAUGAAGGAACCUCCAAAGUGAAGAUGUCCAGAUUGCAACUAUUGGCCACAAAAUUCGAAAAUCUGAAGAUGAAGGAGGAAGAAUGCAUUCAUGACUUCCACAUGAACAUUCUUGAAAUUGCCAAUGCUUGCACUGCCUUGGGAGAGAAGAUGACAGAUGAAAAGCUGGUGAGAAAGAUUCUCAGAUCCUUGCCUAAGAGAUUUGACAUGAAAGUCACUGCAAUAGAGGAGGCCCAAGACAUUUGCAACAUGAGAGUAGAUGAACUCAUUGGUUCCCUUCAAACCUUUGAGUUAGGACUCUCGGAUAGGGCUGAAAAGAAGAGCAAGAAUCUGGCUUUCGUGUCCAAUGAUGAAGGAGAUGAAGAUGAGUAUGACCCGGAUACUGAUGAAGGUCUGACUAAGGCAGUUGUGCUCCUUGGAAAGCAGUUCAACAAAGUGCUGAACAGAAUGGACAAGAGGCAGAAACCACAUGUCCAGAACAUCCCUUUCGACAUCAGGAAAGGCAGUAAAAACCAGAAAAGAUCAGAUGUAAAGCCCAGUCACAGCAAAGGAAUUCAAUGCCAUGGGUGUGAAGGCUAUGGACACAUCAUAGCUGAAUGCCCCACUCAUCUCAAGAAGCAGAGGAAAGGACUUUCUGUAUGUCGAUCUGAUACAGAGAGUGAACAAGAAAGUGACUCUGACAGAGAUGUGAAUGCACUCACUGGGAGAUUUGAAUCUGCUGAAGAUUCAAGUGAUACAGACAGUGAAAUCACUUUUGAUGAGCUUGCUACAUCCUAUAGAGAACUAUGCAUCAAAAGUGAGAAGAUUCUUCAGCAAGAAGCACAACUGAAGAAGGUCAUUGCAGAUCUGGAGGCUGAUAAGGAGGCACAUAAAGAGGAGAUCUCUGAGCUUAAAGGAGAAGUCGGUUUUCUGAACUCUAAAUUGGAAAACAUGACCAAAUCAAUAAAGAUGCUGAAUAAAGGCUCAGAUACGCUUGAUGAGGUGCUGCUGCUUGGAAAGAAUGCUGGAAACCAGAAAGGACUUGGAUUUAAUCCUAAGUCUGCUGGCAGAACGACCAUGACAGAAUUUGUUCCUGCCAAAAACAGGACUGGAGCCACGAUGUCACAACAUCGGUCUCGACAUCAUGGAAUGCAGCAGAAAAAAAGCAAAAGAAAGAAGUGGAGGUGUCACUACUGUGGCAAGUAUGGUCACAUAAAGCCCUUUUGCUAUCAUCUACAUGGCCAUCCACAUCAUGGAACUCAAAGUAGCAACAGCAGAAAGAAGAUGAUGUGGGUUCCAAAACACAAGGCUGUCAGUCUUGUUGUUCAUACUUCACUUAGAGCAUCAGCUAAGGAAGAUUGGUACCUAGAUAGCGGCUGUUCCCGACACAUGACAGGAGUCAAAGAAUUCCUGCUGAACAUUGAGCCCUGCUCCACUAGUUAUGUGAUAUUUGGAGAUGGCUCUAAAGGAAAGAUCAUUGGAAUGGGAAAGCUAGUUCAUGAUGGACUUCCUAGUCUGAACAAAGUACUGCUGGUGAAGGGACUGACUGCAAACUUGAUCAGCAUCAGUCAGCUGUGUGAUGAAGGAUUCAAUGUAAACUUCACUAAGUCAGAAUGCUUGGUGACAAAUGAGAAGAGUGAAGUUCUAAUGAAGGGCAGCAGAUCAAAGGACAAUUGUUACCUAUGGACACCCCAAGAAACCAGCUACUCCUCCACAUGUCUAUCCUCCAAAGAAGAUGAAGUCAAAUUAUGGCAUCAAAGGUUCGGACAUCUGCACUUAAGAGGCAUGAAGAAAAUCAUUGACAAAGGUGCUGUGAGAGGCAUUCCCAAUCUGAAAAUAGAAGAAGGCAGAAUCUGUGGUGAAUGUCAGAUUGGAAAGCAAGUCAAGAUGUCCCACCAGAAGCUUCAACAUCAGACCACUUCCAGGGUGCUGGAACUACUUCACAUGGAUUUGAUGGGGCCUAUGCAGGUUGAAAGCCUUGGAGGAAAGAGGUAUGCCUAUGUUGUUGUGGAUGAUUUCUCCAGAUUUACCUGGGUUAACUUUAUCAGAGAGAAAUCAGAAACCUUUGAAGUAUUCAAAGAAUUGAGUCUAAGACUUCAAAGAGAAACGGACUGUGUCAUCAAGAGAAUCAGGAGUGACCAUGGCAGAGAAUUUGAAAACAGCAGGUUCACUGAAUUCUGCACAUCUGAAGGCAUCACUCAUGAGUUCUCUGCAGCCAUUACACCACAACAGAAUGGGAUAGUUGAGAGGAAAAACAGGACUUUGCAAGAGGCUGCUAGGGUCAUGCUUCAUGCCAAAGAACUUCCCUAUAAUCUCUGGGCUGAAGCCAUGAACACAGCAUGCUACAUCCACAACAGAGUCACACUUAGAAGAGGCACUCCAACCACACUGUAUGAAAUCUGGAAAGGGAGGAAGCCAACUGUCAAGCACUUCCACAUCUUUGGAAGUCCAUGUUACAUCUUGGCAGAUAGAGAGCAAAGGAGAAAGAUGGAUCCCAAGAGUGAUGCAGGAAUAUUCCUGGGAUACUCUACAAACAGCAGAGCAUAUAGAGUAUUCAAUUCCAGAACCCGAACUGUGAUGGAAUCCAUCAAUGUGGUUGUUGAUGAUCUAUCUCCAGCAAGAAAGAAGGAUGUCGAAGAAGAUGUCAGAACAUCUGGAGACAAUGUAGCAGAUGCAGCUAAAAGUGGAGAAAAUGCAGAAAACUCUGAUUCUGCUACAGAUGAAUCAAACAUCAACCAACCUGACAAGAGACCCUCCAUUAGAAUCCAGAAAAUGCAUCCCAAGGAGCUGAUUAUAGGAGAUCCAAACAGAGGAGUCACUACAAGAUCAAGGGAGAUUGAGAUCGUCUCCAAUUCGUGCUUUGUCUCCAAAAUUGAGCCCAAGAAUGUGAAAGAGGCACUGACAGAUGAGUUCUGGAUCAAUGCUAUGCAAGAAGAAUUGGAGCAAUUCAAAAGGAAUGAAGUUUGGGAGCUAGUUCCUAGGCCCGAGGGAACUAAUGUGAUUGGCACCAAGUGGAUCUUCAAGAACAAAACCAAUGAAGAAGGUGUCAUAACCAGAAACAAGGCCAGACUGGUUGCUCAAGGCUACACUCAGAUUGAAGGUGUAGACUUUGAUGAGACUUUUGCCCCAGUUGCUAGACUUGAGUCCAUCAGAUUAUUACUUGGUGUAGCUUGCAUCCUCAAAUUCAAGCUGUACCAGAUGGAUGUGAAGAGCGCAUUUCUGAAUGGAUACCUGAAUGAAGAAGUCUAUGUGGAGCAGCCAAAGGGAUUUGUAGACCCAACUCAUCCAGAUCAUGUAUACAGGCUCAAGAAGGCUCUCUAUGGAUUGAAGCAAGCUCCAAGAGCUUGGUAUGAAAGGCUAACAGAAUUCCUUACUCAGCAAGGGUAUAGGAAGGGAGGAAUUGACAAGACUCUCUUUGUCAAACAAGAUGCUGAAAACUUGAUGAUUGCACAGAUAUAUGUUGAUGACAUUGUGUUUGGAGGGAUGUCGAAUGAGAUGCUUCGACAUUUUGUUCAACAGAUGCAAUCUGAAUUUGAGAUGAGUCUUGUUGGAGAGCUGACUUAUUUUCUGGGACUUCAAGUGAAGCAGAUGGAAGACUCUAUAUUCCUCUCUCAAAGCAAGUAUGCAAAGAACAUUGUCAAGAAGUUUGGAAUGGAGAAUGCCAGUCAUAAAAGGACACCUGCACCUACUCACUUGAAGCUGUCAAAGGAUGAAGCAGGCUCCAGUGUUGAUCAAAGUCUUUACAGAAGCAUGAUUGGGAGCUUACUAUAUUUAACAGCUAGCAGACCCGACAUCACCUAUGCAGUAGGUGUUUGUGCAAGAUAUCAAGCCAAUCCCAAGAUAAGUCACUUGACUCAAGUAAAGAGAAUUCUGAAAUAUGUAAAUGGCACCAGUGACUAUGGGAUUAUGUACUGUCAUUGUUCAGAUUCAAUGCUGGUUGGGUAUUGUGAUGCUGAUUGGGCUGGAAGUGCAGAUGACAGAAAAAGCACUUCUGGUGGAUGCUUCUAUCUGGGCAACAACCUUAUUUCAUGGUUCAGCAAGAAGCAGAACUGUGUGUCCCUAUCUACUGCAGAAGCCGAGUAUAUUGCAGCAGGAAGCAGCUGUUCACAGCUAGUUUGGAUGAAGCAGAUGCUGAAGGAGUACAAUGUCGAACAAGAUGUCAUGACAUUGUACUGUGACAACAUGAGUGCUAUUAAUAUUUCUAAAAAUCCUGUUCAACACAGCAGAACCAAGCACAUUGACAUUAGACAUCACUAUAUCAGAGAUCUUGUUGAUGAUAAAGUGAUCACACUGAAGCAUGUUGACACUGAGGAACAAAUAGCAGAUAUUUUCACAAAGGCUUUGGAUGCAAAUCAGUUUGAAAAACUGAGGGGCAAGCUGGGCAUUUGUCUGCUAGAGGAAUUAUAGCAGCUACUGCAAUCUGAACGUGCCCAAACGAAUCACUUAACAUUAAUAGCACGUUCACCACAAAGCAAAUUCGACCGUUGCUUCACACGCCCCUCUACAUUCUUCAUUCAAAUUUAUAUCUGCUUGGCAUUCGUGUUUUUACCAGCAUUUCCCAAUAGCCUUCUGAGAUUUACGAAAUCAUUCCAAACGCUCUGCUUUUCCAUGGCUACCUCACCAAAAGAAACUGCAGCUUCUGGUUCACCCGCUGUACCAUCAUCUCCGCACCAGGAACAACCAGAAUUCAACAUUCAACCUAUACAAAUAAUUCCUGGUCAAGCUUCUGUCCCUGAGAAACUGGUUCCCAGAAGACAACAGGGAGUGAAGAUUGCUGAAAACCCUAGCCUUGCAACAAGUUCUAGGGAAGUAGACAAGGAGAUGGACAAGAAAAUCCGCAGUAUCGUGAGUAGCAUUUUGAAAGACGCCUCUGUUCCUGAUGCUGGUGAAGAUGUUCCAACAUCUUCCACCCCGAAUGUUUCUGUGCCGGAUGUUGAGAAAGAUGUUCCAACAUCUUCCGGGCCAAAUGCUGAAGUACUCUCUUCCCCCAGCAAAGAGAGAUCAACAGAGGAAGAUGAUCAAGCGACAAAGGAGACCCCUGCACCAAGGGCACCAGAACCUGCUCCAGGUGACCUCAUUGACCUGGAAGAAGUAGAAUCUGAUGAGGAACCCAUUGCCAACAGGUUGGCACCUGGCGUUGCAGAACGAUUACAAAGCCGAAAAGGGAAAACUCCCAUCAAGAGGUCUGGACGAAUCAAAACUAUGGCCCAGAAGAAGAGCACUCCAAUCACUCCUACCUCAUCCAGACGAAGCAAAGUCGCGAUUCCUUCCAAGAAGAGGAAAGAAAUUUCCUCAUCUGACUCUGAUGAGGAUGUCGAACUAGAUGUCUCGACAUCAAAGAGGGCCAAGACAUCAGGGAAGAAGGUGCCUGAAAAUGUCCCUGAUGCCCCAUUGGACAACAUCUCAUUCCACACCAUUGGCAAUGCAGAAAGGUGGAAAUUCGUGUAUCAACGCAGACUUGCCUUGGAAAGAGAACUGGGAAGAACUGCCAUGGAUUGCAAGGAGAUCAUGGACCUCAUCAAGGCUGCUGGACUGCUGAAGACUGUCAGCAAGUUGGGAGAUUGCUAUGAAGGGUUAGUCAGGGAAUUCAUUGUCAACAUUCCCUCUGACAUAUCAAACAGAAAAAGUGAUGAUUAUCAAAGAGUGUUUGUCAGAGGAAAGUGUGUUAGAUUCUCCCCUGCUGUGAUCAACAAAUAUCUGGGCAGACCUACUGAUGGAGUAAUAGAUAUUGAUGUUUCUGAGCAUCAGAUUGCCAAGGAAAUCACUGCCAAACAAGUCCAGCAUUGGCCGAAGAAAGGGAAGCUUUCAGCAGGGAAGCUAAGUGUGAAGUAUGCAAUUCUGCACAGGAUUGGAGCUGCAAACUGGGUUCCCACCAAUCAUACUUCCACUGUUGCCACAGGUUUGGGUAAAUUUCUGUAUGCUGUUGGAACCAAGUCCAAAUUUAAUUUUGGAAACUAUAUUUUUGAUCAAACUGUUAAGCAUUCAGAAUCAUUUGCUGUCAAAUUACCCAUUGCCUUCCCUACUGUAUUGUGUGGCAUUAUGUUGAGUCAGCAUCCCAAUAUGUUAAACUACACUGACUCUGUGAUAAAGAGAGAAUCUCCUCUAUCCCUGCAUUACAAACUGUUUGAGGGGACACAUGUCCCAGACAUUGUCUCGACAUCAGGGAAAGCUGCUGCUUCAGGUGCUGUGUCCAAGGAUGCUCUGAUUGCUGAACUCAAGGACACAUGCAAGGUGCUGGAAGCAACCAUCAAAGCCAACACAGAGAAGAAGAUGGAGCUAGAACGGCUGAUCACAAGGCUCUCAGAAAGUGGCAUUGAUGAUGAAGAAGCAGCUGAAGAAGAGGAAGAGGCAGCUGAGGAAGACAAAGAAGCAGCUGAAGAAGAAGAAGAAGCUGCUGAGGAAGAGGAAGAUGCAGCAGAAGAGACAGAAUCAGAUGAUGAUUCUGAAGCCACCCCAUGAUCAUCAGACCCUUAUGUUUGCUUUUCACUUUUAUUAGCUAAAGGGGCAUGUCCCUUUGAACAAUUGAUUGUUAUUGUUCUGUAAUAUUCGCACAUUAAUUUCAUGCAUCCUACUUUUGCCAAAUUUAUGUCUAAAAAGGGGGAGUAAUAGUAUUAUGCUUGCUAUUAUGCAUGAUUUUAAGCAGUAGGAUAAUAUGUAUGAUACGAUGUAUGGCAGUAGGAAACGAUGUAUGCAUGAUUCAUGAUUUUGAGGGGGAGUUGUAUGUACACGAUUUUGAGGGGGAGACUGCUGCUGAUGACGACUGAUGUAAGCUACUAGAAGCUGCUAGAAGAUGCUGCAGUAAGAGCAUGAAGACAGGGGGAGCAGAUAGUGGAUGUCACAUGAGAUGUCUCGACAUCCUGGAAAAGACUAGUAGCUGAUAGAAGAUGCUGAAGUAAGCAUGAAGACAGGGGGAGCAGAAGCAGAAAGCUGAUGUCACGAGAGAUGUCUUGACAUCCUGGAGAAGACUUGUAGAUUUGCAACUUGAAGAAUUUCCGCUGUGCUUGAUUACUCUGAUAAUGGAAGUUGCUGAUCCCACUUGCAUAACUGCUCGUACCUGCUCAGGAAGUGUCUAAGUAUGUUUUAGACAAAAUUUGCCAAAGGGGGAGAUUGUUAGUGUUUGGCUCUACUGAGCUUUAAAAGAUUGGCUAAGAUUUUGUUAAAACAUAAGCACUUAGACAAUGAAGGAAAGCUGGAGUUGCUGCACAUGAUGUCCAACGGUAUGUCAAGGAAUAAGAUCGGGCUGCACAAUGCACAAGGCAAGAUAAAAUGUCAAAUGAAGAAUUGAAGUUGCAGGAUCCACGAUGUCGGAUACAAUGUCCUGACAUCCUGCCCGAAAAUACUGGAGUUGCUGUACAAUGCAAGAUAAAAGACAAGUGCAGAAGUGAAGCUGCAGGAUCCACGAUGUCGGAUACAAUGUCCUGACAUCCUGCCCGAGAAUACUGGAAUUGCUGUACAAUGCAAGAUAAAAGUCAAGUGCAGAAGUGAAGCUGCAGGAUCCACGAUGUCGGACACGAUGUCCUGACAUCCGGCCCGAAAAUACUGGACAUAUAAAUCUGUUAUAUCUUUAACAGAUUAUUGUGCAGUUAGCAAGAGAUUAGAAGAUCUAUCUUUAGGAACGAAUUAAAAGAUCAUUAAAGUUCGAAUUUCAAAGUAGAAGAGUUCGUUCAGGGAUUAAAGAUUAAAGAUUAAAGAUUCAAACUAAAAGAUCAAAAGUUAUCUUUUAGUUCUCUAACUGCAGAUUUUUUGCAGAAGAAGAUAGAUCUCCUCCAGCACAAGCCGUUGCAGCCCAGAAACGCAAAUUGCUAUAUAAUCAUGGAGGCUGCACGAGUUCUGCACCAAGUCCGGGAUUGAAGAGUUAGUUUGUGAGUUUUUGGGACUUGAGUCUUUUGUGAGCCACCUUGAUGGUACCCUAGCAUCAAGUGUUGGACCUAUGUGUGUAGAGUUGAUCUCUUGUGUCUAGAGUUGAUCUCUAGUGUGUAGAGUUGAUCUCUUUUGUUCAGAGUUGAUCUCUGGUGUGUCUUUGACUUAAUUGUAAACACGGGAGUGUGAGUGAGAGGGAGUGAGCAGAGGUUCUCAUAUCUAAGAGUGGCUCUUAGGUAGAGAUCGCACGGGUAGUGGUUAGGUGAGAAGGUUGUAAACAGGGGCUGUUAGACCUUGAACUAACACUAUUGAGAGUGGAUUUCCUCCCUGGCUUGGUAGCCCCCAGAUGUAGGUGAGGUUGCACCGAACUGGGUUAACAAUUCUCUUGUGUUAUUUACUUGUUUAAUCUGUUCAUACGGACACAUAUAAUCUGCAUGUUCUGAAGCGUGAUGUCGUGACAUCCGGUACGACAUCUGUCCCCUGGUAUCAGAAUUUCAGUCCUCUUUCCGAAUAUGGAAGGGUUAGUGGACCUAGCAGUGAUUGACGCUUUCCUCGCCUUUCAUCAUGGGAAGGAAAGCCCGGUCGUCGCCAUUUUGGCCAUGUAUGACACGUUCGACCGGGGAUGUGAAAAGAGCGACGCAAGAAUUUUUUGUUGUGCACUGGCUCUCUAUGUGUGGUUCGUUUCACACCCUUUUCUCCAAGAAGGUAGGCCCGUCUAUCCGCUACAAGGUCACCGCUCGUGUGUCGAAAAAGGAAAGGCGAAUUGGGACCAACUCUUGGCUAGCAUGGAGGGGCGUCUGUUAAUUGGUUCCCUCGCUAGAAGGAAGGAAGAAUCAGGAUUCUAUCUUCAUGCGAAGGAUGUCCAAAUGUUCUCUUGAUGGGAACAAGGGGUUGUAUUAAUUAUAAUCCCGUCCUCGCCAUAAGACAGCUUGGCUACCCCAUGAGAGGAGUGCCAUCAGACGAAAGCAUCAUGCCUUUCAUCGCACGGGGUUUCAGUGACCACAACACAAGGGUACUCCAAGGAGUUCGCAAGGCAUGGGAUGCGGCGUGAAGAAAGGACAGAGAGCUUAGGGGAAGCAGUAAUGGGAUCAUCGGCGGCUAACAUAAGUGGCUGAGAGUCCGAACACAAGGAUUGGAUUGGCUCCCAAAUCUAAAGACUGUGAGAGACGAUGAGGUUAAAGCUUCGGAAGAAAGUGAUGAGGUACAAGCCCUAAAGGCAGAGCUUGAAAGAGAGACGAUGAGUGACUGUUAUAAACAUUUUCAGCUGCUGGUAAUCAAUUACCAGAGAGCAAAUCUCAAUUUGAAAUUAUAGAAUUCUUUGGUCAAACCUCUCAUUUUUCAAUUUGGAGACUUCUUCCUAAGAUUCUAGAGAUCAACUUGAUCAUAUAUCUUGAUUUCUUGUCUCGAAUAAAACUUAGAAGCACUUGAUCCUUUGGCAUCAUCAAAACAUCAAAACAUCUUGCUUCUACAUAGGAGUCAUUUGACUUAAUCCAUCAAAAAAUCCUUCAACUAUUUCUCGUCCUUGGAAAAAUUCUUUUUGCAAGAAUCAACUGCUUCUUUCAUUCUUCCUCACUACGAGGCUAUGAAAACAAGACAACGAUGGUUACCUCAUAGCCCUACACUGGGGCAAUGAAAGGCACCAUGCAUAAACCUCAAGUGAACCUAAGGGCAGAUUAGAAGUUCUCACCCAAUAGGUUCCCUCCUACAAGGUCAUGACGAAAGACAACGAUUGGUACCUCAAAGCCUUACACUGGGGCAAUGAGGGGCACCGUGCAUGAGCCUCAAGUGAAUAUAAGGGCCGAUCAAAAGUUCACACCCAUCGAUGUUUUUUAAAAAUAAAAAAUAAAAAAUAAAAAAAUAAUAAUAAAAAAGGGGACAAACCCUGGAAUUUCAAUGGAUUGAUUAAACAUCAAACGACUCCAUUGCCGUCACUCCAAAAUGGUCAAAUGACUAAAUCAAACAGAACACACACUCUGAGGGAGUUCUUGGAGAGAUUUGCAAAAGAUAGGAUAAGGUUGCAUGGACUAUCACCUCUUUCAAAAGGACAGUCAAUCUGUGUUUUCCAAAAAAUUAAAUCAAAAUCACAAAAUAGGGAAAGAAUGUCAUGAACGUUGUACAACUUUCCAUUACAUUGCAUUGUUUCAUAUGAAGUCUGCAUUUACCGCAUUUCAAGACAAAAGUUGCAUGCAUCUGCAUCCCUAAAAAAUCAUGUUAACUGCAUAGAUUUCCUACAUCUAAUGUCCAGUCGUGUGGAUUUGGGAUGACCGACCCUCUCGAUGAGUCGAUCUCUUGCUUUCUCAUAAGGGUGAACCCUUGGGUACUAGUACCCUCACCUCCAGAGGACUACAUGUCCUCGCCAUCAGAGGACUGCAUGUCCUCACCUUCGUAGGGCUACACGCCCUCACCUUUAGAGGACCACACGUCCUCACCUUCAGAGGGCUACACGCCCUCGCCAUCAGAGGACUGCAUGUCCUUACCUUCGUAGGGCUACACGUCCUCACCUUCAGAGGGCUACACGCCCUCGCCAUCAGAGGACUGCAUGUCCUCACCUUCGUAGGGCUACACGCCCUCACCUUUAGAGGACCACACGUCCUCACCUUCAGAGGGCUACACGCCCUCGCCAUUAGAGGACUGCAUGUCCUCACCUUCAGAGGGCUACACGCCCUCGCCAUCAGAGGACUGCAUGUCCUCACCUUCGUAGGGCUACACGCCCUCACCUUUGGAGGACUACACGUCCUCGCCAACAGAGGGUUGUACGCCUUCACCUUUAGAGGACCACACGUCCUCACCUUCAGAGGGCUACACGCCCUCGCCAUCAGAGGACUGCAUGUCCUCACCUUCGUAGGGCUACACGCCCUCACCUUUAGAGGACUACACGUCCUCGCCAACAGAGGGCUGCACGCUCUCACCUUGAGAGGACUACACGUCCUCGCCAACAGAGGGCUGUACGCCCUCACCUUGAGAGGACUACACACCCUCACCUCCAGAGGACUACACAUCCUCGCCUUGAGAGGGCUGCAUGCCCUCACCUUUAGAGGGCUACGUGUCCUCAUUUUCAGUGUGCUCCACAUCCGCACCUUAAGAGAAUUUAAGGUCCUCUAUCCUUAAAUGCUUAACCGAGACUUGCACUCCCGGUUAAGGGACCAGUAGUUUCCUUUUAACAGUUCCUGGGCCACCCCCUAAUAUUGGAGGGCGACCAACUGUGUAAGCACAACCAGAGAGGGAGGCUAUCACGCAGCUACUAUGCAUACCGGGGCAAGAUUUCACCCGGGCCGCUGCAAAGAGACGAGUGUGGAUCAUGCGUACCAACAUGACCACUCAUACACAGAUAUAAAUGACGUUGUUACUUUGCAACAUUCUGCCCAGCGACCGUAAUGUCGAUCUCCCCCUGCGGAAGUAUCAGUUGGUCUGUGCCGUCCCGACAUAGGUAUGUAUGCAUUAUUUCCAACUAAUUUCUAAUGCCAUCUACUAUUUGCAGGGAUCGCGCCCACAAGACACCCAGUGGACCCGGAAAAGUCCAACAGGGCCCUGGGGUUUCCAGCUCUGGUUACGGGCCUCUAUCAGUCCUACAGGGUACCCGUACCCCCCCGGCAAGGUCACGUCAUCAUAGGUAAGUAUGCACAUCACUCAACUGAUUUUUGAUUUCAUCUAUUGUUUGCAGGGAUCGCGCCUGCAAGACACCCAGUGGACCCGAAGAAGUCCAACAGGGUCUUGGAGUUGUCAAGCUCUAAUUACGGGUCUCUGUCAGUUCUACGGAGUACCUGUCACCUCCAGCAAGGGCAUCAGGCCCCCUACUAAUCGAGCUUUCAUCAAGAAGUACUGCGUCUCCAGGCAGGCGCAGGGCGAAACACCACAGCAGCCUGGGGAUGGCCGGCAGUGGGCAACAGACGCACCGCCAUCACCUCUAGAGUUCACCUCUGCUCAUCCACAAAAAGGUUUGAGUAUUGCCUACACCACAUGGCCGACCAAUAGACGACCAAGUCCAAAGCCAAAGGUAAGCAAAGUACUAGGUCAGUGACCGACAAGUCAUAAGGCAUCCAGCUCAAGACGUUAAAGAAGCGCUACUAGGAGGCAACCUAGUACCUUUUGAAUCUAUGCUUGUUAUUUGAUCACUUUUUAUAGUAGGACACACCUAGUUGCUCAUGAUCAUGGGAAUUUAAAUAAAACAAGCGCAAGCUCGGAAGGUAGUCAUACCUCACAAAAUAUAUAUAUGUAUGUUUAGGUAGUGAAAAUACCUUAGAUAUGCAUGUAUGUAAACAAAAAAAAACACUUCACAAAAUAUAUAUAUAUAUAUAUAUAUAUAUAUGUAUGUUUAGGUAGAAAGAUACCUUAGAUAUGCAUGUAUGUAAACAAAAAAUACUUCACAAAAUAUAUAUAUGUAUGUUUAGGUAGAAAGAUACCUUGGAUAUGCAUGUAUAUAGCAAAUAUACCUUACAAAACAUAUAUAUGUAUGUUUAGGUAGCAAGAUACCUUGGAUAUGCAUGUAUAUAGCAAAAAUACCUCACAAAAAUAUACACAUGUUUAAGUAGCAAAAUACCUCAUGAAAAAAAAAACAAAAAAAAACAAACAAGAAAAAGAAAUAAACAAAUGAUAAUGAUAAAAAAAGGAAGAAAAAAAAGAAAAAAAGUUGUCUAGUUGAAAAACCAACAUGCUUUCGAAAAGAGAUGACUUUUAACUCUUCUUUGAAAAAAAAUUCGCUGAUCAUAGCUAGUUGUUGGAAAAAAAAAUGUGUGUACACCUGAAGGGUGAAUGCUGUGAAAUUUUCCCGAGUACCCAAAAUGGACUCGGAUGAAUGCACAAAUUGAUAAAAGAACAUAUUUUGGAAACAUUGGGUUGAUUUAAAAUAGAGGAAAUGAAUCCUGAGCCCUGGCAUCACAUGACCAUAAAAAUUUGACACUUGAGUGUCCGCAUAGGUGCAUGCAUGACCAGUUUUGCAUAAAAUUUCCAAAUCAUCAUUUUUGCAUUUGUGUCAUGGAAAUAAUGUGGGGCAUCCCUUUUAUCCUUGAGCCAAACCAAACCCUGACAUGUAUCAUGUCUAGCCAUUCUACAAGCCUUGAGCCAAAAUCCUGACUCACCAUAAACCUUGACCUAGGGUGAGAAUGUCAAUCCUUACCCUCGGAAGCAAAAAAAAGGAAAGAAGGAAAAUUUCCAAUCAAAGAGAAAGCAAAAAAAGGAAAGAAGGAAAAUUUCCAAUCAAAGAGAAAGCAAAAAAGAAAAGAAAGGAGAUUCCCAAUCAAAGAGUGGGAGAAAGCAAAAAGAAAAGAAAGAAAAUUCCCAAUCAAAGAAUGGGAGAAAGAAAAAAAAAAGAAAAGGAAGAAGAAGAAGGAAAGAAAGCUCCUGAUCAAGGAUUGAAAGAAAACAGAAGAAAUGUGCAGAAAGGUCUUUGGACCGGACAAUAUCUGAACCAUACAGAAUUGUCACCAAAUGAACAAAAAGAAGGAAAGGAAACCACGACCUAAAGUGGUCUUCUCCCUUUAAAUUGCCGACCAAAAUCUUGUGUGCUAGCGACUUCUUCGCCCCGCACUAAACAAAAACAGAAAAGUAAAAAGCCAAAAAAAAUCAAAAGCCGAAAAAAAAAACCCACCAAAAGAACCCAUUUCCAAGGGGAGCCCUAUUGAUCCAUGAUCACCCAUGUAAUCUUUGAUUUGAUAGGAAAUAAUUCGCAAAGUCAAGUCGUGACAUAUCUAUGGUUCGGAAUUAGGAUGAAACACUUACCUGUGCGAGAUUGAUACACUUUGAGUGGAUUUCUUCUAUUUUUGUCAAACCCAGUGUUUCCUCUAAAUGGUCAUUUAUAAACGAAAUGCUAACAUCCAAAAUCUCAUUUAUGGUUAUGGGGGGUUUCAUCAGCAGACUCUCCUUCCCCGGUAGACGCAUUGUUUUUCACUCAAAAAAGCAUAUGCUGCUCUAAUCAGUUGGAAUAUUUGUCUCUUUACUAAAGCAUGUUUGCAUUUUAGUGGAGAUCCGGUGGAGACUUUUUCAAGUCUCACAAGUUAUUCAGAACUACUUAGGUCUGAGUUCCUCAUUGGAGGAUACGUAGGAGCAGGAGCCUCACUUUUGUCGACCGCACCGCUUUUCGUUACCAUGACCCAAAAGCUGGUAGCCCGCGGAGACACCUUACGGUUAUCCGCACCUCGUCAUUCAGUGACCCCAAGUGUGAUUGACGAGCGGAGACCAAUGUGGUCAUCUGCGCCCUUUCCGGAGGUGUCAGCUUUUUCCGGUGGAGACUUUUUCAAGUCUCACAAGUUAUCUAGAACUACGUAGGUCUGAGUUCCUCAUUGAGGAUACGUAGGAGCAAGAGCCUUGCUUUUGUCGGCCGCCCCACAAUCUCUGUCACACUGACCCUGAGGUCAUGUGACAUGCGGAGACAAAUUAUAGUCAUUCCGCACACCUUUUUGCCAUUCAGGCACAGUUGUGUCCGAUGGCACGCAGAGACAAAUUAUGGUCAUUCUGCGCCCUUCGUCAAUCGCGGCCGACAAACCCGUUGACACGCGGAGAUUUACAUCAUCUUCCGCGCUCACAAGAUCUGUCAUACUGACUUUUGAGUCACGCUGACAGGCGGAAAUACCCGAGUGGUUAUCCGUAUAAACAUUCUUUUGCUAUCUGUAAGACAGAACGCUUGAUAGCAUGCAGAGACUGACAUCGUCUUCUGCACCUUUUGUUCCCCCGGGAACAACAAGUCAUUUGCAUGCGGAGAUUUUAUGGUCACCCGCGACUCUCGUCAACCGAGAGGAACGAAAUUAGUGUCUUAUCUUUACUUUCCUUUUAUCUCCAAUAAAAGACAAGUAAAGAGGGGCAACUGUCAUACCCUAAUUUCGUCCGGGGACCUUUGCUUGAUGACAUGCAACUUUUGUUUGGUCCUUGUGAGGUGCUUGGCACCCAUCAUUAGGAAAUUUAUGAAAUUCCGGGACAUGCCGGAAAACAAAAGAAAAUAUUGAUGCACAAUCCGUAAGGUUCCAUGACACACCGGAAAUCAAAUGGAAGCAUCGUUGCACAAUUAGUGAGGUUUCGUAACAUUCCGUAAGUAAAAAAGGGGAUGAUUAUGUAAUCCACAAGGUUCCGUAACAUUACGGAAAGAAAACAAGUAUCGUUACGAAAUUCGUGAGUUUCCGUAACUUUACGAAAAAAGAAUUACCAAAAAAAGGCAGGGGGUGUACUUAGUAAAAAUGGGGGUGCAAAUAGCAACCAGGCCCACUUGGGCCCUCCAGAAGAUUCCUCCAGAAGGCUGUUGCUUCUGGAGGAAGCAACCCUGCUCGCCUGGGCGAGCUGAGCUUGCCUGGGCGAGCUGGGUGGCAAGCUUAUCCCCCAAUUUUCUAUAAAUAGGGGGAGAAGUGAAGUGAAAAAGGGUUCACCACCUUAGGCACUUCUCUCUCUUUCGAAUUUGCUUGGAAAAAUUGUUUCCGUGAAGAAAAUCCAAGCCGAGGUGCUUCCGAAACGUUUCCGUAACGUUUCCAUGAGGAAUUUCGCGAAGGUUUCGACCGUUCUUCGACGUUCUUCAUUCGUUCUUCAUCGUUCUUCGAUCUUCAACGGGUAAGUACCUCGAACCUAGCUUUUCGAUUCAUUCUAUAUACCCGUGGUGGUCCACAUUGUGUUUCGUGUAUUUUUAUUCUCGUUUCAUUUACUUUUUAUACCCCCUUUUGACGUGCUUAAGCCAUUUUAUUUAAGUCAUUUCUCGCUUAACCUAAAAAUAAAAUAAAUUUCCACCGAUCGUUUGAAUUGUAUUAUCCGUUAACUUCGGUUAAAAUGAAUUUCGACCGUUCGGUUGUGCCGUAACCACGUUGGAAAUAAAAAAAGAGGUAAAAUAAUAAUAUAAUAAUCAAAAAACGUCUUUUAGUAAAAUAAAGCGGAAAAUCAAUCGGACGUUUUCUCUUUGGGAUUUCUCAUUCUUAAUUGAAUUGACUAAUAACUAAAGUGAAACUAAGGCUAAAAUCAACUCGCCUAGUCAAGCUCGUCCAUAAAAAAGGGUUUUUGAAGUUUAUCAUUUCAAUUUCUUACUAAGUAAAAUGGAUCAUUUUCAAGGUCCAACGCCUUAAAAUGAUCACCUUUUAAGUAAAAAAGAAUCACUUGAUAAGAAAGAACUGCGUAGGUCUGAUUUCCUCAUCGCAAUUGAGGAAUACGUAGGAGCAAAGGGAAACACCCUUGUCGACCACAAAAAGAGAAAAAAUAUAAAAAAGGUAUAAAGAAUAUAAAGACAUAAAAAGGGAACAUAAAAAUCAAGGUCAUGUUUGCACAUUCGAUUAAAGGCUGCCGUCCCUUGGGACGGACGUGUGGGGUGUUAAUACCUUCCCCGUGCGUAAAUACAACUCCCGAACCUUUCACUUAAAAGUUCGUAGAUCACGUCUUUUCCGGUUUUUCCGACGUUUUCCUCAAAUAAACGUUGGUGGCGACUCCGCGCGUAUUCCUUUCGUGGGACACGCAUCCCGCGAGUCACGCGUCGCCCUCCCGCCGAAGGUUAGGUUGCGACAACAACUAUCACCUUUUUCUACAUCCUCCAAAAGUCUAUCAGUUGAGUAGGCUCCACUUCAAUGAACUUUUCUGGAGCUUUAAGAGGUCAUCAAGGAGUAUCAUGAAUUCAAGUUGAAGCCUUCCAAGUGAGAGAAACUCAAGCUAAGUUCUCUGUGUGAGAAAUGUUCCAUUGUUGCUUUAACCCUCUCAAUAGAGAUUGACCCACUUCUGUAUAAACUUGUAAAUGGAUAUGGAUCUAAGAUAGAAGUGAUAUAUUCUAAUUUUCUAAGUGGAAACCCUCUUGUAAGAAAAAAUUUAUAUAUAUGCAACCAAACACACAAAGACCUUUUGUUGUUGAAAGUCCAACAAGUGGCUGGCAAAGGUUGUAACCAGUGGUGUAGCUGGUCUAGAUGUGGCUAGGUGUUAAGUCCAAUGUGGUUAUUGGUAAGUUGUUAAAAUCCAAUGGUUUGCUGGUGCAGUAGUGAAAUCUCAUCUUGAAGGGUGAGGAUUGGAUGUAUCCCAAGAUUGGGAUGAGUUGAUAUAAAAUCAUUGUGCAUCAUCUUCUUCCUCUCUCUCUCUCUCUCCCUCUCUUUCCUUGCAUUGAUUUUAAUAUGUACAUUGUUUAUUGGUUUUUGUUUAUCACUAAGGCAAAAAACUCCUUUGAUAAAUACUCUUAAAAUUGAACUUUUUUUUUUAUCAAAGUCUUUUCAACUAAACAUCUUUUAAAAUAAGCUCUAAGCUAUAAAAACCUUUUUUCCACAACUGCUUGGAUUUUUGUCCCGAGCUUGGCACUUUCUCUUGUCUCUCAUAUCCCCUCAACCAAAUACACUCACUUCACCAUUUCCCCCAUCUAUCGUUAUUGUGUGAUGCAAUUGGCACAUCCCACACAUUCACGGAACAAAUUUAUGACUUUGAGAUUUGGUGACUUUGGUGACUUUUCUUCAUUUUGAAUCAUUAGAUUAAUCUAGUGCUCCAAAAUUUUACACCUAUUUUUAAAGAUAUUUUUAAUUUAAUUAUUUAGUUUUUAUAUUUUUUAUUCUUUAAAAUAACACGAAAUAUUAUUGAACAUAUAGAUUAAUUGGUACCAAAUAUCAUUUCAUUUUAACCGGUAGUAGUUCUUAAACUACUAAAAAUUUGUUUUACAGUAAAGAAUUUCUAUUAGUUCAAUAUCUAUAAAAAAAAACUUUUAGACAAUUUUAGAGUGCCUAUUUUUUUCCAAAAUAAAUGACAAUAUGAACAAUACUUGAGACUGAAUACGUUAAAGUAAAAUAACUUAAUUUGUACCCAUUAAUCUACAAACUCAUUGAUAUUUUAUAAUUUUAAAAUAUAAAAAGUAAAUAAAUAAUUAAAUUAAAAUAUUUUUUAAAAGAAGUGAGAAAAUUUGGACCCAUUUGACUAAUCUAAUGGUCCAAAAUAAGAGAAAGUCACCACAUCCAAAAGUCAUGCAGUCCAUCCGUUUUCCUGUAUUCACACGUAUGUUCACGAUAAAGUAAUUAAGAAUAAAAUAUGUUUCUCGUUAUCAUAAAAUUAAAAUGUGUUAUUUUUUGGGCCUAGAGCAAGGUUCAUAUAUCUAAACCUAUAUGUAUUGCUAUUUUACAUUGGUUAUGCAUAUAACCAAUAUAAAAAAAUACAUUUAGAUAUGUUAUAUACAUAAUUAAUGCAAAAAAUUAUCAUUGUAGGAACCAAUGUAAAAAAACACUAAAUUUCAUAGGAACGAAUUCCAAAUAUUUCCAUAUUUAUGGGAAAGAAAAUCAUAUUUUACCCAAUAAAAAUUGCGAGUAACACACUCUCUCAUUUGUUGAAGGAGAAGGGGAAGAGGGAGUGAUUAAGCAUUGAUGAUUAAAAAAUUUGGAUACAUGUUAGGGAUAGGUGUUGAUGAGGUAACACUCCGUCUAUUAUACCAUCACUUCACAAAAUGAGACUAACACUAAGUAUUAAGGUCAAACAUAAAAAAUAAAAAAUUAUUGAAUACAUAAAUAAAAAAAUGAAUUUUAUAUAAUAAAAUAAAGAUAACCUAUUUUUUAGAUAUAAAGAAUAUAUUUAAAUCUUUGUAACUUUAAAUUUAUUAAUCAAUGAGUUUCUACUUGCCAUUUGCUUAAUUUUAAAAUUAAACAAACUUUAAGUUUCGCAAUUAAAACUCUGUACCAUCUUCCUUCUCACCCCUCGCCCUCUCACGUUUUUACACACGUAGACACAUACACAUUCAUAAUUCAUUGCUAUCACCACACAAGCCUAGCUCCUCAUAUCAUACCACUGAUUUAUCUUCCCUCUCCAUCGUUCGUUCAUUCAUUCACUCUGGGCGCGCGCACGUGCUAGGAACCAUCGAUUCGAGAAUGGGCAACGACUGUGUGCCGUCGACGGCGGCGGCGGAGGUCAUGGCGGUGGUGGCCGUUGAGCUCACUGACGCCUCCAGCUGGUGGCACGACAUCGACGACUCUCCGGCGUGGCAGGAUCGUAUCUUCUACACUCUCGCCGUACUCUACGGUAUCGUGGCCACCGUAGCUUUGGUAUCGUCGCGCACUCUUUUAAUUCCAAAUUAGGGUUUUAUUUUUGUUUAUUCGAUUUUAUUUAUAAAUUUUUUAUUUGAUUGAAUUUUAGGUUCAACUGGCUCGGAUACAAUUGAGAGUGCCGGAGUACGGUUGGACCACGCAGAAGGUCUUUCACUUUCUCAAUUUUUUGGUGAAUGGGGGUUUGUAUCGUUCAAACCUUUUGCUAUUUCACUUUUUAAAAUUAUUUAUUUUGUAAUUGCUUAUUAAUGUGACGUUUUGUUAAGAGAUUAUGCACUCUUUUUGGUUUUGCAGUUCGGUGUGUAGUUUUCAUCUUCUUUCGGAAUGUGCAGAGGUUGAAGCCAGAGGUAUUGGAGUAUAGGGAAUGUGGCAUUUAUUUUUGAGUUAUUUUUUGAACCUAAUAUUAAUAAUUUGUUAUUUUCUAAUUAGAAUGUGAUUAGACUCACUUAAUGCUCACUCUGCAUUUGCUUGUGUUUGUAGAUUGUUCAACACAUCUUGCUUGACGUGCCGAGUCUUGCUUUCUUUACAACAUAUGCACUUUUGGUCCUGUUCUGGGCUGAGAUUUAUUAUCAGGCAAGUUUGAUUUGUGGUGCAUUUGCUUCUACAUGGUUGGUUUGCCUCCUGUGAUUUUCUUCUUCCAGGUAGUGUGUUUUGCUGAUUGGUUUUGAUGGGCUGAUUACUGCCUCGGUGUUAAAUGCUUUUUCAGGCACGUGCUGUAUCAACUGAUGGGCUGAAACCAAGUUUCUAUACUAUUAAUAUUGUGGUUUACGUUGUUCAGGUGGAAAUUCUAUUGUUUACAAAGUUUGUAUAUAUGAAUGUGAUCAACUAUUGAAUGAUGUCUGACUUUGGUUGCGAUUCACUACAUGGUGGCUGGAAGGAAAAUUUUGUGUGAUAUCUAAUAAUAGGAUAUAGUAUUAUAGUUGAUUGCAACUAGGUUAUGGUUGUAGAGAUAUGAAGGAAAAGAGAAUAAUAUUUGUUUCUAAAUUCUAAGUGAGCAAUGUACAAGCAUUUAAUAAUAACGAGCUAGAUUCAAAAUUUUUCUAUUUUACCUUGAAACAUCAAACUGAAUUCUUUUGCUUCCUCUAUGCUGGCAUCCUAGAUUUGUUAACAUGCCUCCUUCCAUUGAUAAGUGACUCCCACUCUCAUAGCUUCCUCUGAUUCCUCUGUCUUCUCUAUGUAGAAGUGAGUCAAGCUAGGCCUAGCUGAAGCAUAGCCCAACUAGGCAGUUAGUUAUCUCUCUCCUAAUUCUGAUCAGGUGCAUCGUACCUCAUAGUCUGAUCAGUUGCAUUGCACCUUUUCUCUCUCCUUACAAAUACCUUAGUUAUUUUAUUAGGGGUUCUAUCAGUUUGAUGGCAAUUAACAUUUAAUAUUCAAUGUAUUUAUCUUGUGUCAUUAGUUCUUAUUUUAAUAUGCAUUGCAAGUUUUAGAUGGCUUUUACUUUCACGUUGACUAGUUUUGAGUUUGUUGAAUAUGACCCAUCUUGUUUUUUGUUUAAUGUAUAUCAGAUUACUUUAUGGUUAAUAUUGUGGUGGAAACCUAUCAGUGGACUGCUCAUUUUGUCUAAGAUAUUCUUUGCAGGUUUGUCUAUGCUGGAGAUUUGGUUUCUUAUUUUUAUUGAUUGUGACUUUUAUCAGUUUUUGCUAAUGCAUAUAAUGAUAUGUUGCAAUAGGGGUCUCUUUGUUUGCAGCCAUUGGCUUUCUUCUCUAUGGUGGAAGGUAAUUGUCUGUAAUCAUAUCCAACUCCCUUUGAUGUAAUUUGGCAUAAACUAUUGCAUUAAGUUACAAGAUGCCACCCAUUGAGUUGCGGAUUUUGGUUGUGUAGAGAAAAAUGGAGUAGAAUCUAGAAUAACAACUCCUUGAAUUAGCAGAAAUGAAAAUUAUUUGCCUUGGUUUUUGCUACUGGUUGAUCAGUGCUUCCUUUCUGGACUGAUGAAAUAAAAUGGUGCUAAAACAUGAACCGGGGGGGUGCAUACUUUGUAGAUUGGUAUCCAUCUGUAUUGAGAUCGGGGUCCAAUCUUGUAUUGAAGUUUCUGUUGUAAUCCUCAAUAGCUGCUAUAAUUUAACUUCAUAGGCUAUUGGUGUGGGUAGGACUCUUCAUCCCAUUUAAAUAGUUCGUUGUAUUGUUGGAUCUUUUAAGUCAAACUCAGAUGUAUAGACUGAUCUUUACCAUGUUUGAAAUCUUCUUUAGAAAUGAAUUAUUUUCAUUUCCAAGAUAGUUCCUUUGUGUCUUGAUUACUGCUUUCAAUAUUUGGGAUCUGGUCUUCUCUGAAAUUUCUUACACUAGUUGCAGAGUCCUGGUUUUGUGAGGUGGUAGGAUAUAUGAUUGUAACCAGGAUAUCCAUCAAGAAGCAUAAAAGGGAUAACAAUUGUAGCCUUUGAGAGUCUUAAUUGUGAAAUGGCAUAAUGUUUGUCAUAUGAUGUGUUAUUUUGGUUGACAUGGUGCUUAGAAUAUUAGGAUAAUAACUUCUAGUUGUGAAUUAUUUUUUCUAUCUGAUGUAGUCCCUGCUAAGCAGAUGUCUUAUCAAAGACAGUGUCUUAUCAACACUAUGAUAUACUACUGUGUUCUGAUUUUGCAGUGCAAUGUGUAAUAUCUUAUUAAAUGUGACUAUUCCCUUGAAACACUCAUGUCCAGAAAACCCAAAUUAACAACAACAACAACUAAGCAUUUUCUCCUCUAGGUGUGGUUUAUUCAUUAAAUGAUGCCAUUGUGGUCAAUCAAAAACCAAGUCUUUCGAAAGACUGUUUAGAUCUGUCCUUUUUAAUGGUUUCACCAAGAUUUUUACUUGUGUUACUCUAUCUAAUUAUUGGACCAUCCUCCAUCUGAUCAGAUUUGACUAUUUGGGCUUCCAAUGGUUUUCUCAUAUUGCUAAAAAACCAACUUAGUUGUGAUUCUUUGAUCUUUUCUACUUCCUUUCUACUACAUUCCUUCUUGAUCCUCUCUCUAUGAGCUUUCAACAAUCUCAUCUUUGCAAAACUUGGAUUAUGAUCUAGGUGGAACUUUACAGCCCAACAUUCAGUAUGAUAUAACAUUGGUGUUUUGUGGUUGUGUGGAAGAAUUUUUCUUCUAGCAUGAGAAGCACCUUUUGAUCAUAACAAUGCCUGAAGAAUUCUUCCAUUUUAUCCACCCAACUUGAAUCCUAUGAUAUAAUUCUUCUCUGUUUCUCCUUCACUUUGUAUGAUAGAUCCAAGAUACCUAAAUUAUGGCUUGUGUGAUAUCUUAUGAUCUUCAAUUUUACCCACCAAGCCAGUUUUAGUACAUAUAUUGUUAAACAUGGACGUUUCAUGGACCCAUUUUACUUUUGUUUAAAAAAUUCUAAAGUUUCUCUCCAUGACUCUAUUUUACCAUUUACUCUCUUGGCUGACUCUCAUACUAGUGCUAUAACAUCUGUGCAACAAACAUGUAUUCUGCAACCAAAGAGAAGGUAAAAAAUUAAUUGUCCUAGAGCUGAUUUAAUGGCAAUGACACACCUAUGAAAAUGCAUGCAUUCCUGACCAAUGAACUGAUGAAGUUCACUAAAGAAUUGUAUGUGCUUUACCACUAAAUAUUGGCCUCUUUACUUUUAUCAAAACCUUUAAAAUAAAAUGGCAGGAAUUAGUGGCAUUCUGGCUUAUCCAUAGCUCAUUGAACCCCAAAAGGAUUGUUCCAAGGGACAGUAGAUGCCUUGAGGCCAACAAAUUUGUAGCAAAACAUUUUUGUUGACAUCUUAUUAAGCACCACAGUUGAAAGUAAAUAUUUGGUGAGCUUUAGAUUGCCAAAUGGGUUUGUUGAUGAGGAAGAAUUGACUUUUGGGCAAAUGAGAAAGGAAUUUACAAGAAACCAUGCCGGAAGAGUCAAGAAUCCACUUUCCUUUCAGACUUAUCAAAUGUACUAAGCAGAAUCAAGUUAGAAACAAUUUUUGUUUUUUUUUUUUUGGGCCUUCAAAUUUUUUAUUCCUAACCCCAAUGAAAGAACUCAGAAUAUAUUUUCAGUUGUAUGUGAAGAUAGAGAAACAAAUAUUAUCUGAAAUUGAAAAUGUGGCAACCAAUGUGGACAAAUUUUAUCCAAACUAGAAAUUUAUUGAAACUGAAACUGGGACUGGUAAAUCUUUCAAAAAUAAACACCAAACCAGCUUAACAGGUCAAAGGAUGUUUUUUUUAUUGUCUUUAGUUAGUCAUGAUCUUAUUCAUUACCCUGAUUUGGAUACUGCUGUGAGUGGCUUCAAAGAUUUUUAAAAUUGCGAACUAUAUUUGGUUUUAGAUGUGAUAGCAGUAAAGUUAUCAUAUAUCAUAAUUUUACUUGGGAGCUAUGUUGAUGCAUCACAAGCCUACAGAGGGAUUUUGGGUUGUCAUGGAAUUUCUGUACUGAAUGGUAAUAGAUUAUUACAGUUACCUUUACAAACUACUUAGUGAGCAUACCUGAUUUUAUAUUUUUAAGCUUGUGCCUUUCUAUGUCAAUUUUCUUCUCUGUUUACUAGUGUAACGUAUCCUUUUUUCUUUUCUGUCUUGUUCCCAAAUGAAAUUUCCUCUUUUAUAAAAUUAGAGAAUUUUAAGGCAGAUAGAUACUUUCAACUUGAAUUUUUAAAUUGAAAAUUGAAUUUUGUCAAUGUACUUAUGCUUUGUGUACUCAUCUGUAUUACCUUCUGACUUUUCUGAUUCC
Molecule: long non-coding RNA, 34451 nt
Filed under: Glycine max (soybean)
Lineage: Eukaryota; Viridiplantae; Streptophyta; Magnoliopsida; Fabales; Fabaceae
Description: long non-coding RNA (GMAX_LNC001543)
Source: RNAcentral